GUCUUUCGAUUCCAACUUUUGUGAUGCAUAAUUUGUUUUUUUCUAAUGAGAGAGGAAGGGUUAGAUAAAUCCAUGAUGGCCGCUUUCCCGCUCAUUCUAUUCCUUUCAUCCUAUUGGUGCUGGUGGCUAUUCUCAGCAGGGGGCGUUGUAAAACCAACAGUCAAUUUAGUCAGUUGGCCUUGCUACCUCUAAAUGAAACGUUCCAUGAAGGUGUCGAGUUUCACUGUGCAAGAUUAGCUAGUUAGUGACCUUGGCAGAGAUAUAAGUUCUGAGGAGAAUAUUUGGUUUAAAUUAGAUUAUUUGCGCUUGCUUUUCUUAUCACUUUCAGGCUUCAGCUCUUUAGGAACUUUUUGACACUUACCCGACACCACACGGUCCGCUAGACGAUGCCUCGUAUAACAUGAUGGAGAGCCACGUUUUCUUGUUUAAGGUAGAACUUUUGUUAGUGUAAUAUUAUCUUGUGUCGGGUUUUUACUUUGAAUUUUACUUGUCGUGGUAGUUUAAAGAUUGUGAUAAUGUCAAGGUCGAAAUAAUGAAGAUUAAAACUAAACGAAUCCAGCACGUUCGAAUGUUUCUAAGUGUUAUUGUGACGGCAACACAUCUGUUUCCAUUUACCACCCUUUAUUCGCCUUGCUUCUCUUAGUCUACAAAUGAACGCUAUAACUAUUUGAUGUUAACAUAUGGGUCAUUUAGGUUUCGAAAUUCUACCCAUUGAUUCUCAUGAUUGCCAACUGCAGCAAUUCAGAUCUGAUGUGUAACCGAGCCUCGUCCGGUGUGUUGCAAUCGUUUCAAUCACUCUACCAGCAUCUGCUUCUUUAUAGGAUUGUAAAUGGCCCUUACUCCUUCUGACGAUAUGCAGAAAGUUACUUGGCUAGUGAAUGCCUUUGCAAGCCACUGGAAAGUUUCGACAGACUCAAACUAGUCUAGUAGACAUUCUCGUGAAAAUGGCAGACCAACUGGCUCAUAAUCCCCUCCAUAAUGUUUUGUCUCCCCUAUCUAUUCAGCCAUCUUCUUGGAUUAAAAACGUCGAGAAGGACGUAAUGAAGACCACCGACUGUUCCGCUUAACAGCAGUGGCAUCUUGCUGCACUUAUUAUC
Long non-coding RNA from Daphnia pulicaria, 1097 nucleotides. RefSeq lists it as uncharacterized. Lineage: Eukaryota; Metazoa; Arthropoda; Branchiopoda; Diplostraca; Daphniidae. The transcript is spliced from 3 exons. The record is from RefSeq and is a predicted model, not a curated record.